UGGGGAAUAUUGCACAAUGGGGGAAACCCUGAUGCAGCGACGCCGCGUGAACGAAGAAGGUAUUCGUAUCGUAAAGUUCUGUCCUAUGGGAAGAUAAUGACAGUACCAUAGAAGAAAGCUCCGGCUAAAUACGUGCCAGCAGCCGCGGUAAUACGUAUGGAGCGAGCGUUGUCCGGAAUUAUUGGGCGUAAAGGGUACGCAGGCGGUUUAAUAAGUCGAAUGUUAAAGAUCGGGGCUCAACCCCGCAAAGCAUUGGAAACUGAUAAACUUGAGUAGUGGAGAGGAAAGUGGAAUUCCUAGUGUAGUGGUGAAAGACGUAGAUAUUAGGAGGAAUACCAGUAGCGAAGGCGACUUUCUGGACACAAACUGACGCUGAGGUACGAAAGCGUGGGGAGCAAACAGG
RNAcentral lists this ribosomal RNA (403 nucleotides) under bacterium. Its description in RNAcentral is "partial 16S ribosomal RNA". It matches the Rfam family "Bacterial small subunit ribosomal RNA", at positions 355 to 776 of the family's 1533-position model. The record is from RNAcentral.